RNAcentral lists this ribosomal RNA (353 nucleotides) under uncultured bacterium. Its description in RNAcentral is "bacterial SSU rRNA". It matches the Rfam family "Bacterial small subunit ribosomal RNA", at positions 28 to 346 of the family's 1533-position model. The record is from RNAcentral.
GACGAACGCUGGCGGCGUGCCUAAUACAUGCAAGUCGAACGCACUCUCGUUUAGAUUGAAGGAGCUUGCUCCUGAUUGAUAAGCAUUUGAGUGAGUGGCGGACGGGUGAGUAACACGUGGGUAACCUGCCCUAAAGUGGGGGAUAACAUUUGGAAACAGAUGCUAAUACCGCAUAAAACCUAGCACCGCAUGGUGCAGGGUUGAAAGAUGGUUUCGGCUAUCACUUUAGGAUGGACCCGCGGUGCAUUAGUUAGUUGGUGAGGUAAAGGCUCACCAAGACCGUGAUGCAUAGCCGACCUGAGAGGGUAAUCGGGCCACACUGGGACUGAGACACGGCCCAGACUCCUACGGGA